RNAcentral lists this ribosomal RNA (1345 nucleotides) under Candidatus Uhrbacteria bacterium. Its description in RNAcentral is "bacterial SSU rRNA". It matches the Rfam family "Bacterial small subunit ribosomal RNA". The record is from RNAcentral. Lineage: Bacteria; Candidatus Uhriibacteriota.
GAGAGUUUGAUCCUGGCUCAGGUCGAACGCUGGCGGUGUGUCUAAGGCAUGCAAGUUGAGCGAACUUUAUUUCUUCGGAAGUUAAGUUAGCGGCAAACGGGAGAGUAACGCAUUAGUAAUUCACCUUGUACUCGUGAAUAGCCCAGAGAAAUCUGGAGUAAUACACGAUAUGAUGGGGGGACAAAAGUCAUUCCCAUUGAAAGUUCCGACGGUGCAAGAGAAGCUUAUGUUCUAUCAGCUAGUUGGUGAGGUAAAGGCUCACCAAGGCUACGACGGAUACCGGGCGUGAGAGCGUGACCCGGCUCACUGGGACUGAGACACGGCCCAGACACCUACGGGUGGCUGCAGUCAAGAAUCUUCCGCAAUGCACGAAAGUGUGACGGAGCGACACCGCGUGUCGGAUGAAGGCCUUCGGGUCGUAAACGACUGUUCUGAGGGACGAACUUUGACGGUACCUCAGCAGAAAGGGGUUGCUAACUCUGUGCCAGCAGCAGCGGUAAUACAGAGACCCCGAGCGUUGACCGGAUUUAUUGGGCGUAAAGCGUGCGCAGGCGGCUUUGUAAGUCAUUUGUUAAAUCUUCAGGCUUAACCUGGAGGCUGCAGGUGAUACUGCAAGGCUAGAGAGUGGGAGAGGUAGAUGGAAUGCCCGGUGUAGGGGUUAAAUCCGUUAAUAUCGGGUAGAACACCAAAAGCGAAAGCAAUCUACUGGAACACUUCUGACGCUGAUGCACGAAAGCGUGGGUAGCGAAUNNGACGGGGACCCGCACAAGCGGUGGAUCAUGUGGUUUAAUUCGAUGGUACGCGAGAAACCUCACCUGGGCUCAACUACUAGCUGCAAGCUUUAGAGAUAAAGUCGCUUUUGAAGGUGCUAGAUAGGUGCUGCAUGGUCGUCGUCAGCUCGUGCCGUGAGGUGUACCCUUAAGUGGGGUAACGAGCGCAACCCCUGUCGUGUGUUAUACUUUCACACGAGACUGCCUUCGUAAGAAGGAGGAAGGAGGGGAUGACGUCAGAUCAGCAUGGCCCUUACGUCCAGGGCAACACACAUGAUACAAUGGCCGGUACAGCGAGAUGCCAAGUCGCGAGACGGAGCAAACCUCUAAAAACCGGUCCCAGUUCGAAUUGGAGUCUGAAACUCGACUCCAUGAAGCCGGAAUCGCUAGUAAAGGCGGAUCAUAACGCCGCCUUGAAUACGUUCUCGGGUCUUGUACUCACCGCCCGUCACGUCAAGAGAGUUGGUGGUGCCCGAAGGUCGUUGUAGGACGGCCGAAGGCAAAAUCAGCAAUAGGGACGAAGUCGUAACAAGGCAUCCGUAGCGGAAGCUGUGGAUGGAUCACCUCCUUUCUAG